This 975-nucleotide long non-coding RNA is filed under the name Homo sapiens (human). Its description in RNAcentral is "HSALNT0318345". Lineage: Eukaryota; Metazoa; Chordata; Mammalia; Primates; Hominidae. The record is from RNAcentral.
GUCAAGAAAAUAUGAAACACAAGAAAAUUCAUAGUGAUUGACAAUGGUAAGCAGAGGCUCAUGUUGAAGAGUAAGAGGAAAUAAGCCUUUAAGACACUGUAUCUGAGUUCUUAGUUUUAAGCACUGUAGAUAAGUAUGUGCUGGAUCAAGCAAAAUGGCUCACUUCCUUGAAAUAUGGGGAAAUAAAUCUGUGUAAGGAUGGCUGGUCCAGCUGGUUUCCUGCCAAUUCUUGGAUGGGUCAUCCUAGUCCAGAGUAUCAUGGAAAAUUGUUCACACAGCUUGACUGAUUGCUUUAAGGGUUUACACUUGUCUCAACUCAGAAAUCCAAGCUCUCCCAGGACUGUUCUAACGGCAGUUCUAAAAGCCUCUUUGGUGUGUUGGAGGCCAGGUAGAGGUGAAGCUUCGCAGUGCUUGGACGUAUACUCAACCAUACGGAGAAUAUCAGCCUGUAGCAGGUAAAUAAGAGCCCAGCACAGAAGAAAAGGCAGAGCUACAAGAAGACAGUGCCACAUUAUUUUCAUUGGAAUCUAUGUACGCAUCUAUGCCUGAGUUUAAAGAUGCUCAAUGACUGUAGGAAGAAGAUACUGGAUUUUCAAAAUAACAUUUGAUGAAAGCAAUUGCCAUGCAGUGAUGAGAACAGGUUUGGGAGGCUCAAGACCUGGUGUGACAUCCUGACUCCAAUUGGUUCAUAUGAGGAGACAAGGAGAAGAUGUCCAUCUGGAAACCUUCAGGAAGUGGAUCUUCACCAGACACCAGAUCUGCUGGUACUUUGUUCUGGACUUCUCAGUCUCCAGAACUGUGAGAAAUAAGUGUCUGUUGUUUAAGCCAUUCAAUCAAUAGCAUUUUGUCAUAUCAUCCUAAACUGUCUCGUGGUGUUUGUAUUGUUUCAACCUAAAGCCCUGAAUGAUGUGAAUGGUUAACCAUUUAUAAACUACUGAAGUUGACUCAGCACAUUAUCUUGUACAUGGUGGACCA